Long non-coding RNA from Alligator sinensis (Chinese alligator), 2517 nucleotides. RefSeq lists it as uncharacterized. The record is from RefSeq and is a predicted model, not a curated record. NCBI's taxonomy places the organism in Eukaryota, Metazoa, Chordata, Crocodylia, Alligatoridae. The transcript is spliced from 3 exons.
UGCUCCUUGUUCUGUCACCUGGGAACAGCCCAGCUCCAUCCUCUUUGCAACCACCCUGCAGGGAGCUGAAGGCUGCUAUUCAAUCCCCCUCGGUCUCCUCUUCUCCAGUUGUUUCAUCCCUUAGCAUCAUUCUCCUCCUUUGCUGUCUGGAGGCUUGGAAACCAGUUGUGCAGUUCUUCAUCCCACCAAUGGAGAAGACUAGGGAAAAAUUAAAAUACUUGCAGGGCUUGGAUGUCACUGAGGAGGGAACAAGACAUGUCUAAUAUGAUGGGUUGGGGAAAGGGGCAGUUGCGCAUGCUCAAGGAAUGCUCCUAAGCACAAGGAGGGAAAGGGAGUAUUUGGGAUUAAUUACUGCGUGUAUGCGAUGGCAUCUGAGGAAAGGGUCAAUGUGCCUGCCUCCUGGGAGCAUUAAUUAGAUUGUGGCAUAGCGUCCCAAGGGAAGCAGCUGAAGCCAAAGUGUUUGAAUCGCUUGAAACAGGACCGGACGUAGUCAGGCAGCGAAGGGGACGGUCUGCUGCAGGCGGGGGCAGGAGCGGCUGAAGUGUGACCGAGCAAGUCUCUUCAGCGCUCCUUUCUUUGGUUCUCGUGAAUAAUGGAUGCUUGCAGGAAAUUAUGUGGCGAAGCUCUUGUGAUCCGAUGCCCAAUUUACAGCCGACUUCUCAGUCCUCUGGGGCUGGCGCUUCAGAUCUCGGCACGGAGCGGUCUGCGUGCUGCAGGCAAGCCCCGCGCCAGGUUCGGUCGGCAGGGAUGCCCCAGGUUUGCCGCAGAUGAAAUGAUUGCACAUCUAGCUCUGCGCCUCCUUCCCCGCACCAGGCCAGGUGGGAGAAACGCGCCCAGGCGUUUUGAUUCUCCGGUCGGCUUUGUUUCAGGUGUUUCGACAUCAAAGCAGAAGACGUCAUUUCUGGACUCUCUGUGUCUGGUGCUGCUGUUUAAAUAAUUCUAUUUAAUCUUCUGCACUUGAGCGUUAUCCAGAGCCAUCAAAGCACCCACUCCAAGGGGUAGCUAGGUGCUAAUCAAAUGCUUCUCCACCUUGAAAGCCUUUUUUAAAACCCCCUAUGCCCAAGUCCUAACUCCUAGCCAAGCUUGCCUCUGCCUGGACCUUGCUGCCUUUGCACCACGGUGCUGCAUCCCUCCAAGAAGCAGGCUGAUGUGGAGCUCAGAUGGCCCGCUCCUUCCCACAGGAGAGGUAGGGAAGGGGGUUGCCAGGUGCAUAAAGCCAGGAGAGCUAAAACCAGAACCUCUGAGGCCACCCUAGGUCCAGCUCAGCGGGGAACGGACUGUAGCUUAAUUCAUGACAAGCAAGCGUUAUGAAAAACACCCCAGGGCCAGGGUGUGAAGGAGCAGAGCCGUGGAAAGGGGGACCGAAAUGAGUCAUGAACCUGAAUCUGCGUAUGCGGGUGGCCAGCCUUUCCCCGUGAAAUCCCAGUGCUGCGUGAUAAAACCCUUCGCCUCACAGGUGUUCAAUGCCUUUCCCCUGUGACAAUCCCAACAGCCAGGCCACCCAUGUCCUCUUAAGAGGACAUAUGCCACUGCUGGCAAGGGUUUUACAUGGAAUUUACCAAAAAAAAAGGAGCCUCUCCCUAUUCCAUACGCCUCACAGGUUGUCUGCAAUGUCCAGGCUGAGUAGGGGAGCCCUGCAGCAGGACUCGGCGGUUCGGUGAUUGUGCUCUGGGCUCUACGUGUAAAUGCAUAACGUGUGCAAGUGCCCUAUACGAGCACGAGUCCAGGCGUUCAGCUGUGGCUGCUGGCUUGGGUGCCUCUUGCUUGGUGCCCGGUGUGGAUGUGCAUGCAGGGUCUUGCUAACCACUCGCUGGUGCAAGGGAGUUGGAGGGAAGCUGGUUUGUGUGUUGCCCUUGAGAGCGUAACUCCACCUGGGCCAGAGCAGGGGCUGGAGAAUUAUUCUGGAAACAUUUUUUUAAGCCUGUGCCUGUACUGUUUCCCGCUGGCAGCUGCAGGGCAGUGUUUUUGGCUGUCACCGGCAGCUCUGUUUCAUUUUCCAGUGCUGUCAGCAUUCACCUGUCACGAGGACUUAGUUCACCAAACUGAAUGAAAGAAAAAUAGAUGGACUCAAACAAGCUGGGCCAUCAGGGGGAAACCUCAGCAGUGACUGUGCUGCGCAGGGAAGACAAAAGGGUUCAGAAAAGGAGGACAAGCAGCCAGCAUCCACGAUGUGUUUGAGGGCAGCACAGCUUCAGUCAUCCUAUUUCAGUAGUCCAUGUGUACCAGAAACCCCUACGGAGCCCUUGGCACUCACAAGGCUGGACAAGAAGGUAAAACACUGCCCUCUAGCUCGCAAGCACCCGCACGACGACUUUGGUCGCUAAUUAGGGAGUAGGAGCGAGAUGUUUCUGAACGACGCUGUGGCAGUCAGCGCAUCCGAUGGAGCCGAACCCCACAAGGUAACUUUGCGUGGGUGCUCUUCCAAAGCAGAAGAAAAGGAAAAGCACAUAAGACCUUGCAAGUAAGCGCAGGCACUGCAGCAUGCGUCUGAAGCCUGUCUGCUGUAACUCCCCGCGG